CGCGCGGCGUCGGCCUUUUGGCUAAGGUCAAGUGUAGUAUUUGUUCUAAUCAGUGUAAAAACUGAUUUCCACACUUCGGCGUGUUUUUUCAUAUUCUUGUUACAGCUUCUGAAAGGUUUCGAAGGCCAAGCACUCAUCUCUUGUGAAGCUCACCUACC
This 158-nucleotide small nuclear RNA is filed under the name Saprolegnia parasitica CBS 223.65. RNAcentral's name for it is "U2 spliceosomal RNA". It matches the Rfam family "U2 spliceosomal RNA". From Rfam's summary of the family: U2 is a small nuclear RNA (snRNA) component of the spliceosome (involved in pre-mRNA splicing). Complementary binding between U2 snRNA (in an area lying towards the 5' end but 3' to hairpin I) and the branchpoint sequence (BPS) of the intron results the bulging out of an unpaired adenosine, on the BPS, which initiates a nucleophilic attack at the intronic 5' splice site, thus starting the first of two transesterification reactions that mediate splicing. Lineage: Eukaryota; Oomycota; Saprolegniomycetes; Saprolegniales; Saprolegniaceae. The record is from Rfam by way of RNAcentral.